UACGUAGGUCCCGAGCGUUGUCCGGAUUUAUUGGGCGUAAAGCGAGCGCAGGUGGUUUAUUAAGUCUGGUGUAAAAGGCAGUGGCUCAACCAUUGUAUGCAUUGGAAACUGGUAGACUUGAGUGCAGGAGAGGAGAGUGGAAUUCCAUGUGUAGCGGUGAAAUGCGUAGAUAUAUGGAGGAACACCGGUGGCGAAAGCGGCUCUCUGGACUGUAACUGACACUGAGGCACGAAAGCGUGGGGAGCAAACAGG
This 252-nucleotide ribosomal RNA is filed under the name uncultured bacterium. RNAcentral describes it as "partial 16S ribosomal RNA". It matches the Rfam family "Bacterial small subunit ribosomal RNA", at positions 524 to 776 of the family's 1533-position model. The record is from RNAcentral.